RNAcentral lists this ribosomal RNA (371 nucleotides) under uncultured organism. RNAcentral's name for it is "partial 16S ribosomal RNA". It matches the Rfam family "Bacterial small subunit ribosomal RNA", at positions 527 to 896 of the family's 1533-position model. The record is from RNAcentral.
GUAGGUGGCAAGCGUUGUCCGGAAUUAUUGGGCGUAAAGCGCGCGCAGGCGGUUCUUUAAGUCUGAUGUGAAAGCCCACGGCUCAACCGUGGAGGGUCAUUGGAAACUGGAGAACUUGAGUACAGAAGAGGAAAGCGGAAUUCCACGUGUAGCGGUGAGAUGCGUAGAGAUGUGGAGGAACACCAGUGGCGAAGGCGGCUUUCUGGUCUGUAACUGACGCUGAGGCGCGAAAGCGUGGGGAGCAAACAGGAUUAGAUACCCUGGUAGUCCACGCCGUAAACGAUGAGUGCUAAGUGUUAGGGGGUUUCCGCCCCCCUUAGUGCUGCAGCUAACGCAUUAAGCACUCCGCCUGGGGUACGGCCGCAAGGCUG